GGAGUUGUGGCUUAGUGGUGAGCACUUGCCUAGUAUGCAUGAAGUACUGGGUUUGAUCCUCAGUACCA
Molecule: transfer RNA, 68 nt
Filed under: Marmota monax (woodchuck)
Lineage: Eukaryota; Metazoa; Chordata; Mammalia; Rodentia; Sciuridae
Description: tRNA.Thr
Source: RNAcentral